ACGGCGAGUGAAGAGGGAAAAGCCCAAAUUUGUAAUCUGGCUCUUUUAGAGUCCGAGUUGUAAUUUUAAGAACUGUUUUCCGUGCUGGACCAUGUAUAAGUCUGUUGGAAAACAGCAUCAUAGAGGGUGAUAAUCCCGUAUAUGAUAUGGACUACCAGGGCAAUGUGAUACAGCUUCUAAGAGUCGAGUUGUUUGGGAAUGCAGCUCAAAGUGGGUGGUAAAUUCCAUCUAAGGCUAAAUAUAGGUGAGAGACCGAUAGCAAACAAGUACCGUGAGGGAAAGAUGAAAAGAACUUUGGAAAGAGAGUUAACAGUACGUGAAAUUGUUAAAAGGGAAACAUUUGACGUUAGACUUGUUAUUAUUGGUUCAGCCUUUUUAAGGUGUAUUCCAUUAAUUAACAGACCAGCAUCAAUUUUGUAGUGUUGUAAAAAGGUCUUGGAAAUGUGGCAACCUUGGUUGUGUUAUAGUCUUUGACAAUACAAUGCUUGAGAUUGAGGAACGCAGUAAGC
This 509-nucleotide ribosomal RNA is filed under the name Uredinopsis filicina. RNAcentral's name for it is "eukaryotic LSU rRNA". It matches the Rfam family "Eukaryotic large subunit ribosomal RNA", at positions 86 to 605 of the family's 3401-position model. The record is from RNAcentral. Lineage: Eukaryota; Fungi; Basidiomycota; Pucciniomycetes; Pucciniales; Milesinaceae.